CACGUAGGGGGCGAGCGUUGUCCGGAUUUAUUGGGCGUAAAGAGCUCGUAGGCGGCUCAGUAAGUCGGGUGUGAAAACUCCAGGCUCAACCUGGAGACGCCACCUGAUACUGCUGUGGCUAGAGUCCGGUAGGGGAGCAUGGAAUUCCUGGUGUAGCGGUGAAAUGCGCAGAUAUCAGGAGGAACACCAGUGGCGAAGGCGGUGCUCUGGGCCGGUACUGACGCUGAGACGCGAAAGCGUGGGGAGCGAACAGG
This 254-nucleotide ribosomal RNA is filed under the name uncultured bacterium. RNAcentral's name for it is "partial 16S ribosomal RNA". It matches the Rfam family "Bacterial small subunit ribosomal RNA", at positions 524 to 776 of the family's 1533-position model. The record is from RNAcentral.